CAUCCAUCGGACUGUGCUCGUUCCAGUCCGCAUUGGGCUCUCGCCUCUGCCUACGGGUGGAGGUGGAGCCUCAAAGUAGAUCGUGCGGAGUUUGCAACGACUCAACUCUUGGACCUAAACAGUCUGGGUUGGCCUGUCUGCAGGCCGCACGGAUCGGGGUGCCAGUGCUCUCUGUCCCGCCUGGUGUGCCCACUUUUUCCACUU
Molecule: unclassified non-coding RNA, 204 nt
Filed under: Gaetanus armiger
Lineage: Eukaryota; Metazoa; Arthropoda; Copepoda; Calanoida; Aetideidae
Description: partial ITS2
Source: RNAcentral